Long non-coding RNA from Cataglyphis hispanica, 528 nucleotides. RefSeq lists it as uncharacterized. The record is from RefSeq and is a predicted model, not a curated record. Lineage: Eukaryota; Metazoa; Arthropoda; Insecta; Hymenoptera; Formicidae. The transcript has 2 exons.
GAUAUUUUAUUAUAAAUUUGCAGCAAUGAAGGUGAUAUACCUAACUUUGCUAAUCGUUUCAAUUGUCAUAAUUUCUAGUAUGGCUCAUGAAAGUAGUCAAAGUAUUGAGGAUCAAGAAGAAAUACAAAAUUAUACUAAAAUUGCCGAAAAAAUAGCCGAACAUCAGGAAGAUCUGAAUACGGACUGCUUAGAGCUGUUAUGGGAAGAAGUUAACAAGCUUAUCUAUUUAAUUUUUUGGGAACAAUUAUAAUGGUGCCUAUCAAAUAGUAUUAAUAAUACUAUUUAAUCAGCAGAUAUUUUAACUAAAACAAGCAUCUUGUAAUGAUAUGAUAAUAUAUCAUUCGAUAUUGUGAAGAAUUACAUGAAAUAAUGCCUUUUGUAUCGGAAUUAUGUAAAAAUAUGAUAUAUAUAAUCAUCCUUCUUUCUGUUAAAUAAAAUAAAUUCUGUUAAUUAAAAUAAAAUAUCUUGUAUUAAUAAAUAUCAACACUAUGUAGUACCAAUAUUACUACAAAUAUGUUAUAUAGUAAA